Molecule: ribosomal RNA, 601 nt
Filed under: Pelophylax chosenicus (Seoul frog)
Lineage: Eukaryota; Metazoa; Chordata; Amphibia; Anura; Ranidae
Description: partial large subunit ribosomal RNA
Rfam family: Bacterial large subunit ribosomal RNA
Source: RNAcentral
UCCCCCUGUUUUUUCAAAAACAUCGCCUCUUGAUUAAACAUAAGAGGUCCAGCCUGCCCAGUGACAUAGUUUAACGGCCGCGGUACCCUAACCGUGCGAAGGUAGCAUAAUCACUUGUUCUUUAAAUAGGGACUCGUAUCAACGGCAUCACGAGGGCUAUACUGUCUCCUUUCUCCAAUCAAUGAAACUGAUCUCCCCGUGAAGAAGCGGGGAUUAACCUAUAAGACGAGAAGACCCCAUGGAGCUUCAAACUCAACAUAUACCUCUACGCACUUAAACCACUUUAGCCCAAGAGACCUCUAUGUUAGUUUUGGGUUGGGGGGACCGCGGAGUAAAAAUUAACCUCCACGACAAACGGGCUUUAUGCCCUUAUCCACGAACCACAGCUCUAAGAAUCAAUAAACUGAUGUUUAUGACCCGAUUAUUCGAUCAACGAACCAAGUUACCCUGGGGAUAACAGCGCAAUCUACUUCAAGAGCCCCUAUCGACAAGUAGGUUUACGACCUCGAUGUUGGAUCAGGGUAUCCUAGUGGUGCAGCCGCUACUAAUGGUUCGUUUGUUCAACGAUUAAAACCCUACGUGAUCUGAGUCCAAAACCGGA